UCUCCGUAGGUGAACCUGCGGAGGGAUCAUUACAAGUGCCCCCGGUCUUACCACCGGGAUGUUCAUAACCCUUUGUUGUCCGACUCUGUUGCCUCCGGGGCGACCCUGCCUUCGGGCGGGGGCUCCGGGUGGACACUUCAAACUCUUGCGUAACUUUGCAGUCUGAGUAAACUUAAUUAAUAAAUUAAAACUUUUAACAACGGAUCUCUUGGUUCUG
Molecule: unclassified non-coding RNA, 217 nt
Filed under: plant metagenome
Description: partial contains small subunit ribosomal RNA, internal transcribed spacer 1, and 5.8S ribosomal RNA
Source: RNAcentral